Molecule: ribosomal RNA, 387 nt
Filed under: uncultured bacterium
Lineage: Bacteria
Description: bacterial SSU rRNA
Rfam family: Archaeal small subunit ribosomal RNA
Source: RNAcentral
GCGCGAAAACUUUACAAUGCUGGCAACAGCGAUAAGGGAACCUCGAGUGCCAGGUUACAAAUCUGGCUGUCGAGAUGCCUAAAAAGCGUUUCAUAGCAAGGGCCGGGCAAGACCGGUGCCAGCCGCCGCGGUAACACCGGCGGCUCGAGUGGUAACCGUUAUUAUUGGGUCUAAAGGGUCUGUAGCCGGCCGGAUAAGUCUCUUGAGAAAUCUGGCAGCUUAACUGUCAGGCUUUCAGGAGAUACUGUCUGGCUCGAGGCCGGGAGAGGUGAGAGGUACUUCAGGGGUAGGGGUGAAAUCUUGUAAUCCUUGAAGGACCACCAGUGGCGAAGGCGUCUCACCAGAACGGACCUGACGGCAAGGGACGAAAGCUAGGGGCACGAACCG